UCAGGACGAACGCUGGCGGCGUGCUUAACACAUGCAAGUCGAGCGAUGAAGCUCUUCGGAAGUGGAUUAGCGGCGGACGGGUGAGUAACACGUGGGUAACCUGCCUCAUAGAGGGGAAUAGCCUUUCGAAAGGAAGAUUAAUACCGCAUAAGAUUGUAAUGUCGCAUGACAUAGCAAUUAAAGGAGUAAUCCGCUAUGAGAUGGACCCGCGUCGCAUUAGCUAGUUGGUGAGGUAACGGCUCACCAAGGCGACGAUGCGUAGCCGACCUGAGAGGGUGAUCGGCCACAUUGGGACUGAGACACGGCCCAGACUCCUAUGGGAGGCAGCAGUGGGGAAUAUUGCACAAUGGGGGAAACCCUGAUGCAAGCAACGCCGCGUGAGUGAUGACGGUCUUCGGAUUGUAAAGCUCUGUCUUUAGGGACGAUAAUGACGGUACCUAAGGAGGAAGCCACGGCUAACUACGUGCCAGCCGCUGC
This 477-nucleotide ribosomal RNA is filed under the name uncultured bacterium. Its description in RNAcentral is "bacterial SSU rRNA". It matches the Rfam family "Bacterial small subunit ribosomal RNA", at positions 24 to 518 of the family's 1533-position model. The record is from RNAcentral.